GAUGAACGCUGGCGGCGUGCUUAACACAUGCAAGUCGAACGAAGCACCUCUCCCGAAGAUUGACACAGCUUGCUGUAGAUUGAUUCAUUUGAGGUGACUGAGUGGCGGACGGGUGAGUAACGCGUGGGUAACCUGCCUCAUAGAGGGGGACAACAGUUGGAAACGACUGCUAAUACCGCAUAGUAAGAAGAAUUCGCAUGUUUUCUUCUUGAAAGAUUUAUCGCUAUGAGAUGGACCCGCGUCUGAUUAGCUAGUUGGUAAGGUAACGGCUUACCAAGGCGACGAUCAGUAGCCGGCUUGAGAGAGUGAACGGCCACAUUGGGACUGAGACACGGCCCAAACUCCUACGGGAGGCAGCAGUGGGGAAUAUUGCACAAUGGGGGAAACCCUGAUGCAGCGACGCCGCGUGAGUGAAGAAGUAUUUCGGUAUGUAAAGCUCUAUCAGCAGGGAAGAUAAUGACGGUACCUGACGAAGAAGCCCCGGCUAACUACGUG
Molecule: ribosomal RNA, 495 nt
Filed under: uncultured bacterium
Lineage: Bacteria
Description: partial 16S ribosomal RNA
Rfam family: Bacterial small subunit ribosomal RNA
Source: RNAcentral